GACGAACCGGACAAACGGUAUUCGGAAUUAUUGGGCUUAAAGGGUGCGUAGGCGGCGCGAAAAGUUGGGUGUGAAAUCCCUCGGCUCAACCGAGGAACUGCGCUCAAAACUGUCGUGCUAGAGUGAGACAGAGGUACGCGGAACUUAGGGUGGAGCGGUGAAAUGCGUUGAUAUCCUAAGGAACACCGGUGGCGAAGGCGGCGUACUGGGUCUUUGCUGACGCUGAGGCACGAAAGCUAGGGUAGCGAACGGG
Molecule: ribosomal RNA, 253 nt
Filed under: uncultured bacterium
Lineage: Bacteria
Description: partial 16S ribosomal RNA
Rfam family: Bacterial small subunit ribosomal RNA
Source: RNAcentral